AGUAAGUCUGGAAUUACAUAGGUUAGUACAGGAAGUAAAGUCUGGAAUUACAUAGGUUAGUACAGGAAGUAAAGUCUGGAAUUACGUAGGCUAGUACAGGAAGUAGUCUGGAAUUACAUAGGUUAGUACAGGAAGUAAGUCUGGAAUUACGUAGGCUAGUACAGGAAGUAGUCUGGAAUUACAUAGGUUAGUACAGGAAGUAAGUCUGGAAUUACGUAGGUUAGUACAGGAAGUAAAGUCUGGAAUUACAUAGGUUAGUACAGGAAGUAAAGUCUGGAAUUACGUAGGCUAGUACAGGAAGUAGUCUGGAAUUACAUAGGUUAGUACAGGAAGUAAGUCUGGAAUUACGUAGGUUAGUACAGGAAGUAAGUCUGGAAUUACGUAGGCUAGUACAGGAAGUAAAGUCUGGAAUUACGUAGGCUAGUACAGGAAGUAAGUCUGGAAUUACGUAGGCUAGUACAGGAAGUAAAGUCUGGAAUUACGUAGGCUAGUACAGGAAGUAAGUCUGGAAUUACGUAGGCUAGUACAGGAAGUAAGUCUGGAAUUACGUAGGCUAGUACAGGAAGUAAGUCUGGAAUUACGUAAGCUAGUACGUAGGUUAGUUUCAGCUGUUAAGAAUCAGUUCCUUCUUUUGGGAGUCUCUGUUGUGCGCUUUGAUUUUUGAAACCUUUUCAGACUUUUUACAUUCACAAACAGCUCUAUAGCACACUACAUGAAAGGUAGUAUUUGAAAAAAUAUUAUAGGUGCAACUUUAAGCAUUGAAAAACAUAUUUUUUUUCUCUGUGAAACAGGUGCACCAUGGUACACACUUUUUUGAUGUGUAAUAUCUCCAGUAUGCUUUUUUUGGUCAUCUCCUGCUAUAGUCCACUCCAUCCAUAACCUCCCUCUCUCACUCCCAAUCUUAUAUAUAAGUAUAUAUUACAACACCAGUGAUUCUGUACAUAUACACGGUCUGCACUUACACUUUCCUUUUGUUUCCUAUAUUGGCUUUAUAUUGCUGUGGUUUCAUCUCAGCACAGGUUUAGUGUGUAAAGCUCGACUAGGACCUAAAUUACACAAGGGCUGUUAAAUGAUUAUUUUAUGAGUAAGAAUAAGAGUUUUUUAAGCCAAUGUGGUCUUUGAAGACAAAAGAGUGUUGUGUUACCUCAGAGACGUUGGGCUGAGUACAUAACCAGCAUUCAGAAAAACAGUUUUGCACUGUUGGAAGUGGAUAUUUUUGUGAGAUUUAGAAGGUAAACUAGUGUAGUUUAAGACAGUUGCCUCCAAGGCUUUAAUUGUAAGUGAUGACUGGUGAGAGCAUCGGUGGUGGACAUUAAAUUUGACUUUAUAUCAUUGUAAAUGUGAGUAUCACAGUGCUGAACCAAGUCAUGUUGAUGUCUUAAUGGCAGCAUAUAUAGGUUGGGUCACAAGCUUGGUCCUAGGAUGACUACAGCCAUGAGAUUUAGGCUACGUCCACAUUAAUCCAGAUCAAUUUGAAAAUGCAUCCUUUUCUGUACGUUUUGGCCUUCUGUUCACACUGAGACUCAGUUUUGUACCAUGAA
Long non-coding RNA from Ictalurus punctatus (channel catfish), 1541 nucleotides. NCBI's taxonomy places the organism in Eukaryota, Metazoa, Chordata, Actinopteri, Siluriformes, Ictaluridae. The record is from Ensembl.